Taeniopygia guttata (zebra finch) is the source of this 7627-nucleotide non-coding RNA. The record is from RefSeq and is a predicted model, not a curated record. Lineage: Eukaryota; Metazoa; Chordata; Aves; Passeriformes; Estrildidae.
GCUAGAUAGAAUUUGAUUGCAAAAUAAAUAUUUUAUUUUUUCAUAUUAAUUUGGCUGGACAAAUUUUCAUUUAUAACAUCCGUGAUGAGUGGCCCAGGGCAGGAACCCACCCCGCCCACCCCAAUUCCAGCCGGGGAGUGACUGCGGGGUGCGGCUGGCGGGUCCCCGCUGCGCUCUGCCGCCGUGGGACACGGGGCGCGCCGCGGCGAUGCCGGAGCUGUACAGGGUGGGAUCGGUGCGGUGGGUUGCGGCAGGAGCUGCCGGCGCGGCCCCCAAAAGCGGGGUUGUGGCAGCAGCGGGGCCGUGAGAGGGCGGUGUUGGACCGCGCUGCGUCUCCGCUGCAUUCUGGGCAGUUCCAGCCUUGCUAUUUCGCAGCAGGCAUUCGUUGCAACAAAAUCUCCUUUCCCCCUUUCUCCUGUUUUCUUUUUCUUUUUAAUUUUCUGCCUUUUUUUCUUCUUUCCUAUUCUUCUUUCCCAUUUCUCCUUUUCUUUUGAGGUGUUUCCCAGACCUUCCCAGCAGUGUUUGUGACCUCUUUCCCAGACUUUCCAGCAGUUUAUGAAGCAUCCCAGCGCUGGAAGGGUGACUCUUUGCCAAUUGAGCAUCCCUGCAAUCACAGGUGAGCAGCUGAUGCAGCCAAGAGCUCCGUGAUGCCCCACCACACCGGUCGUGUUCCUGAGAGGACUCGCAGCCAAAGCUCAGCAUCACGGCCACCUCUGCCACGUGCUCCCUGAGGUGACUCCUCUGGAUAUCGAGCCCUGGAGGAGAGGUUACACCUCAGGUUUUGCCUGGCUUGAAGAGAAUAAAAAGCCCCAUUGGUGACAGCAACCUAAACAGGUGCAAACUAGGGAGUGAGUGUGGAAGUGAGCUGCCUUCACCUUUAUCUGCUGCUGUUGGACAGAUGAAUCCACACUACAGCAGAGCACUUGCAGAUUACUCUCCUUCUGUGAAAGUUUGCCUAUCAGUGUAAGCGGCAUCUGGAGAUGGGAAAACUGAACUUCAGGAAAUUGGACAGGAGGCUGGCUGAAAGAGUACCAGUGCUCUACAGGGAUUUCUUGUGCAUUUUCAAGGAAGUAUUUGCUGUGUUCUAGAAUGUGCAAAUAUUGUUUGGGGCUUGUUUUGUUUUGUUUUUUAUCUCAAAUGCUUGCCAAGGAAAUUGAAAUGUACAAACAUAAUUAGCCAGGGGCUGAACAUUUAAUCUUAAAUUCUGAGUCUUCAUUAAGUCUUAAUUUAAAAACCUUAGGAGGGAAGCUUGCAACCAUUCCUGUUCAUAAGGUUGGAUGGAAUUUGGGGCAGGUUUUAUGGCAGAAGAAGCAAACCACUGAAAUGGGGAAAGCUCAGCAAACUGUGCUGAAGCCAGUUAGUGGUCAAGUGGUCGUGUCAUGGAUAAUGGGACAAGAUCUGGAUUCAAGGCGCCUCUUGUGUGGUCAAAGCAGGCCAUGGUGGACGUGGCUCUGGGCAGCCUGAUCUGGUGGCAGGUGACCGUGUAUGUGGGGUUGGGGUCAGAGGGGCUCUCAGGUCCCUUCCAGCACAAACCAUUCUGUGGCUAGGAAUUUAAGAAGGCUGUGGGAGAACUGGAUGUCUUGUGGGGUGAAAAAACAGGAGCUUUCCCUUUGUAGGAGAGUUACUCCAAAUCAGAACGGGGUGUUUGGGGAUAAUUUUUUUUUUUUUUCCAUGGGUGGUCUUCCAAUGGCAUUGUUAUUUUAACCUGAAAAAGGGAUUAUUUUUGAAUUUGAAUCACUUUUAGUCUAUCAAGAUAAAAUAAAUUGCUAGUACCUUUUAUUUUUAUCUCAACUUACUGAGAAAAAUUUCUACACUAGACAUGAUAGGGAAAAAACUGGGAGGGAGAAAAAUUAAAUAAAACAAAUCCUUUUAUUCCUUCUGCAAGUACUCUUAUAAGCUGGGAAGCUGUGGAGAAAUGUGAAAGUGCUGUGAUUUCUCCUACACCUUCCUUUGCCCUUUUUCAGUGAAAGAGCUAUGAAAUGACAUCUUUGUGAAGAACAUGCCAGACCCUCUGCACAUCGAAAAAAGUCCAAAAAAGCAUCAGCAUUAAUUCCUGUGAGUGUUCAUGCCAAAUCUGUUCUUUUGUUUAGUCUUGUCAGGGGGGUCAUAAUUUGAAGUAGUCUUCUUUUUUUUUUUUUCCUGAUCACCAAAUAGUCAGAAAAGCAGUAACAGUAUUUUUUUAUUUAAAAGUAUUUUUAAUUAAAAAAAAUAAAUAUGAAAAUCGAUCUUAAACCUUAAUAAAAAGGCUUAUAUAGUACCUAGUACUUGCUGAAAGUUUAUUUUUCAAGUGCAUACUUUUAAAACAAACAAACAAAAAAAAAGUAGUGCAAGAAGAUAGCAUUCACCUUGCAAAUGGCUAGAUUCCAGCAAAGAAGAAAAAAAUUAAAAAGAAGAAGGCAAGAACAGGAAAAUUUGGGCACACUUGCAUGGCUGCCUGCAGAGAAGGUGACCCACUGGCCUGCUGCCUGCUGCUGGCCUGCCAGCAGAAGUUUUGCCCUUGCCUUGGCAGCAGCACCCUGAAAUGCCGCUUGGCUUCGUGCCGUGGUUCCUGGUGGGCUCCGGCCCCAGGGAAGGCAAGGAGGGGCUGUCCUGCAAGGAAAAGCACCUCCAUGGGAUCCACCUGCCAAGCAGUGCCCACACCCCCAGAUACCACCUCAGCCUCAUCACUCCUGCCCUUGCCACUCGGGUGAGGAGAAGUGAGUUCAGUCCCUGAGUUUAUAACAAGUUGGGCUGUAAAUCCUCUUUGGUGCAGUCUGCUAAGUUAUUGAGUGCUUCUGCUCACCUCGGCAGCUUCACAACUCCUACAGCUAAAUGGAAAAUUUAGAAUAACAGAACUAUUUCACAUGGCAACAGCAACCUGGAAGGAUCUGACUGGUGCAUUCCUACAAAUCAAUCCAGUGUGAGCUUCUAAGCCAAUGGGCUGGUCCCCUGUGAGCGACCGAACAUCUCGUCCUGGGCGUGUUAACAGCAAAGCUUGAAAUCAUGGUGACUUCUGGAAACCAAUUUUGAUAACCAGACUCUAUUUGUAAGGUAUUUAGAACUAAUAAAGCUACUGUGGUCUUGGGAGUGCCCUUUUCCUUGAGCACAAUGGGAAACUCUUCCUGUCAGGAUUGCUAUAGAAACAAUGACUUAUCAGGCAAACGGGACUAUCCAGCAAAUUGUGCCAGACAGGGGAUGUGUGCUGAUAAUGCAGCAGCAUUAAUUUGCUCUACUUUGUUAUAAGUAGAGCUUGCAUUGCCUAUAGAAAUGUAAAGAGGCAGGUGAGCUGGAGUGUCUAUUAUUUAUAGACACAAUUUGUGCUGUAUAAAUGAAUUUUCCAUAGGAAGACUUUUUAAAAAAAAAAGGCUUGAGAAACUGCUUUGUAAGUAAUUAUGACUGGGAGCUUCAAAUGUGCUCUGAAGAAUGGGUGGGUAUCCUUUAGUCCCCCUUAAAAUUUUUCAGAUGCAAUCUUGAACGUGUUGUAAAGAGGGGGGUACUUUGACCAUAUGUGAGGUACCCCAGCCCCAUUACUGACAGCCUUUAGCACGAUAAUGCUGAACCAUGGCUGGUAUUGCCUUCUGUCACCUCACAAAACUGAGCCACCCAUAAGCAAAUGCAAAUAUUAUUAGUAUGUUGAUGUGCUUGUACUGUGUGGCUUGAGAAGUCAGCACCAGACUGAAGUAUGAUCCAACAACAACAAGAAGAAAGAAAGAAGCAGAAACUCCUCGGUAUCGAGUGGGUAACAUCUACAUUUUCUUUAUUGCAUGUUGCUCGAUGCCACUUGGGAGGAUGUUCCUCUAUUUUUAAAAAGGAAGAAGACAUGAACUAUGGCAGGAAAUCAUUGAGCUGAGAGGAGUUUGGCUUCAGAUGUGAGACACACCACCAGAAUCACAGAGAAGGUUCCCAGAGUACUCUUCUUUGUGCUUCAGGGGAAUUUUUGUUACUCUUCAAACAAUAAUUCUGAAAAAAACCCCACAGACACAAAAGAAAAGACAAAGUAGUGCAUUACACCACCCCACAAUGGGCCCAGCGUUGAUGCUGGAUUAACUGUCCCCAGUGAGUGGCUGAGCUCACAUCUCCCUGCCUACCUGGAACUCAACUCUGCUCUGCCUCUGGGGUUAUGAUCUCAUCUCUGAAGUGCUGCAAACACAGCUGAGCUCCACACUGCUCCCACUGUAGGUCCCACUUCUGGAAACGUGGAGCUGGGGAUCUGGGCCACGCAGCAGGGAAUCUCUGCAGGAGAUGGAGGAGGUGGGACACCCCCAUGCCACUCUUUCUCCCCACAGAUGUUCACCACAGCUAUCUUCAAAGGCCAUGGACUUCUAAAGAGCUGCUCGCCUGGCUGUGCGUAUAUGGAGCCUGUAUUUUUCCUUCUGCUUCUCCAGGUGGGAACUGAAAAUCUUGCACCUAUAAAGAAGCACCCAUCAUUGUCCUGACAUCAGUUUGAGGUGGGCUAGUAGGUAUUUCCAAGGGUCUCAGCUGUUUGCAGGUGAGAAGUAAUUUUUUCUUGCACAAGCUUUCUUCUUGCAUGGGCUUUUGGCUGCUUGUCACGUAUGAGGCUGUGCUGGCAGGAAAGAGGAGACCCAACUGAAUAUUUCUGUCACACCAAGUAUUUGUAUUUGUUUCAGGGUGGCUCACUCUGUGCAGAGAUGCCUGCUUCCAGCUUUGUGCACUCUGGCACGUGUUGCCUAAUGGACCAGGGCUUCUCGCUCAGCACAGCUGACAAGGAGCAUCUCUGUCACCACAGCUGACACACACUUGCUUUGUUAAAUGACAUAAGAUGCUGCAGUGCAAGGCACAAGUUCUCCCAUGCUUUCAGCUAAACAAUUUACUGCUGUGCUGCAUAUACCCUUUGGUCCAGCGAGGGAGGACCCAGAGCUGGUCAGUGUCCCAGUGGCCAGCUCUGUCCCCCUUGACACUGCAAGGAGCAGUGGAAACUAAGUGACAUGUUGACCUAAUGCCCUGCCUGUAGGGCAUUCAUACCUAGCCUGCCUGACAGCUCCCAAACUGCCUGCUGAGGUUCAGCCCCAUGAGGCAUUUUCUGCUCUGCUACGUCCCAGCUUCUCCAGUCCUCCUGCCUCUGCACCAUCCUGGGUGUAGGCAAAGCCAGGGCUUUGGAAUGUGUGUUUCUGGCUGCAAACUGAGGUCUUUUCUGCACAUCAAAUGCUCAUCAGCGACUGGGAACACAACCAAGGAGGUUGUGGAGGAGAGGAGGAAGCCACACUUGACCCCACAGAAACCACAAACCUAAUUUCACACCGAAGGCAAUUAGCCAGCACACAUUUGGUUAGGGUGGCUGUGCUACUUUGUAAAACGUGACCUUGUAAUGAGCUGGGGCGAUGGAUCUGAGUUUCAGCUAGUCUACACUGGCAAAGGAAAACUGCCAGCAGUUAAAUAUCAUCCAGAGAGGGGAGCAGGGGUGAAGUGGCCCUCAAAACCAUCUCUGUGCACUUCCAAGUCCUGCUUUGCACGACGGGAUCACGUCCCUGACUCCAUGCCAUCACACUCAGCUCCCUCCUGAAGCCAGCAGGAUGCUGCAGCAUCCUUGGCUGGGCAGUGCUGACUCAGGCACAGAGUCCUGUGCCUGCUCCCUGGCACUGCUGUCCCCCAGAUAUUUCACCACUAGAUAUAAAAAUCCCCGAGUCAGGCGCUUGCGGCUGCGCUCACUGCAAGGGGAAGCAGUAAAAGGCUGAUUUACGCUCUGAACCACAAAAGCCUUUUAUUGCUGCUUUUUUAUUUGAAUGUAACUCUCAUGCCCUUAAAUGUGUAAUCCCUUUCUAACAGUCUUGUGGAAGUGGCAGGGCUCUCCACGGGUUAAAGGCGGUGUUUUUCAAGAGGAUCAAGUUGUCCACCAGGUCCCCGAAGCCCCUCUUGCCCUGGCACAGCCAGUCCUCCUGUCAGCAAGGGAGGAGAGCAGCAGUAAGCUGUGUGCUGCUGGCAUGGUCCACCACAUACCCCCAGCCCUCAGCUUCCUGGGGUUGUUGGAGAGUUAUUCCAUCACUUGGAGUAUUCCCGACAGUCUUGGGCACUGCUGCUCCUUCAGGGGAGAAUAAAACCCCAAGCUGAUCUAACAGCAACAGUGAUUUAGGAAUUUGACUCCAGGCAUAUACAUUUAAAGACAUUGCCCAAUUAUUUCUUCAUUUUUAUUAAUUACUAUUAGUCAUUUAUGGCCCCUUUUAAAUUCAACUUCUCAAGAAAAAUAUUGCUUUAGGAAAAAAAAAAGAAAAAGGACAGUCAUUAAAUGAACAAUUAGCAAAAGCUACAACUGCACCAUAAAAGAGAAAUACUAGGGGGGGAGGAAUAUUUCAAAUUGACUGGGGCAUGCAAGUUGUCGAAUGGAUGGAAAGCCAGCCGAGAUCCUAAGGAAGGGGUGGAUGCUGAAGAGGAGGAAAAGUACACAGUGUGGCAUUGCUAGGUUCAUUGUCAGGCCUGCUAUUAAUUACUUGCUUUAUUAAUGAUUUGGAAGCAAUAAGAAUUAAUUGCAUCAGGAAAUGAUGGUACAUUGGGAAGAGCUGAAAGCAGAGGUGAGAGCAGAAGAACAGCGAGAGAGGCAGGGAGGGCUGAGGGGUGUAAGAGGGAUUUGAUUUCAUUCAGGCUCUGGGGGCUUUUCUACAGUUUCCCCUAGUAAAAGAGCACCAAUAAUGUCUGUGGACAAGGAAGGGGCCCAGAGAGGUCAGACAGGAGGGUUUGGUUUGAAGCAGGAGCCAUGGAGACCCUUCCUGUCCCGCUCAAGAGAGGAACAGACUUGCCUGAGGUGUGAGGCAGGCAGAGUCCCUGCACAACAAAACUGAUCAGCGUGGAGGGGCAGCUGACUUCAGAAGAUCCCAGACUGUAUAGCAGGGCGUGUUUAAAAGAAAACACUAAACAGACAAUACAUUGUUCUGCCUGCUUUGCAGCCUAACUGAAGGAAGGGGGAAAACAAAGCCCAGAUUAAUGUAGAAAUUGCAUUUAAUGAUCAUCUUGAGAACCAUAGGACAAAAUCAAGGGAGUGAGCUGCCACAAGCUGUUAAGGAGGAAACCCUCUGCCCACCGGAUGCCAGUGUUGCCCAACAUUAAAUCACAUGGAGAAAACUCCUCUGGCAAGAGAAUAUUUGGUGCUUAAAGACACCCAUCCCUCCAGCUACCCAAACACCACCACAUUCAAAAGCGCACUUGCAACUUACUUGGCGGCACAGUUAAAUCUAUUUGCAACUCAUCAUUCUGGAGGUAGGCAAAGGUGACAAAGCCAAGGACGAAGCACUGUGUAAAAUUUUACUUUUACUGAGCGGACCCUAAAGAAGCCCCAGCAGAGUUUUAUUGUGCGGCUCCUCAGGCUGACAGUCUCCAUUAACCAUCGGUUAAUACUGCAGCGUCAGAGCAAACCCAGAGUCGCAGCCCUGUGCUGUUAGGAAGUGUCCUUCAUCCCAGCAAGAGACCUCGGGGUGAGAAUAUUUUGCAUGAAGAGCCACUGGUGUAAGAGCUGAGCCUCUCAGUUCUGCAUUGCAGUCAGCGUGUCGUGUGCCAUCCCUCCACGCCACAAAUAAAUCUACAAUUUCUCAGCUGGGAGCCUUUGGAAGCCACAUACUAAUACGCUUAUAUGGGAAGAGAGACCAGACAAGGUUCAAAUAAAGAGCUCAUGUAAUAAAUAAACAUGAGGUCAGUAUGGGAA